RNAcentral lists this non-coding RNA (313 nucleotides) under Callithrix jacchus (white-tufted-ear marmoset). Its description in RNAcentral is "Eukaryotic large subunit ribosomal RNA". It matches the Rfam family "Eukaryotic large subunit ribosomal RNA", at positions 2068 to 2388 of the family's 3401-position model. The record is from Rfam by way of RNAcentral. Lineage: Eukaryota; Metazoa; Chordata; Mammalia; Primates; Cebidae.
UCAAAGAAUGGGGUUAAUAGUAGUUUAGAUACAGCUGAAAAGAGAAUUAGUGAACUAGAAGUUAGGUCUUAAGAAACUAUCCAUCGAGAAGGCCCACAGCGGGUGUUGACGCGAUGUGAUUUCUGCCCAGUGCUCUGAAUAUCUAAGUGAAGAAAUUCAAUGAAGUGCGGGUAAACGGUGGGAGUAACUAUGACUCUCUUAAGGUAGCCAAAUGCCUCGUCAUCUAAUUAGCGACACGCAUGAAUGGAUAAACGAGAUUCCCACUGUCCCUACCUACUAUCCAGCGAAACCACAGUCAAGGGAACGGGCUUGG